Molecule: transfer RNA, 74 nt
Filed under: Sporomusaceae bacterium
Lineage: Bacteria; Bacillati; Bacillota; Negativicutes; Selenomonadales; Sporomusaceae
Description: tRNA-Gly
Rfam family: tRNA
About the family: Transfer RNA (tRNA) molecules are approximately 80 nucleotides in length. Their secondary structure includes four short double-helical elements and three loops (D, anti-codon, and T loops).
Source: RNAcentral
GCGGGCGUAGCUUAGUGGUAAAGUUCUAGCUUCCCAAGCUAGCUAGGCGAGUUCGAUUCUCGUCGCCCGCUCCA